This 468-nucleotide ribosomal RNA is filed under the name uncultured bacterium. RNAcentral describes it as "partial 16S ribosomal RNA". It matches the Rfam family "Bacterial small subunit ribosomal RNA", at positions 28 to 507 of the family's 1533-position model. The record is from RNAcentral.
GACGAACGCUGGCGGCGUGCUUAACACAUGCAAGUCGAACGGAAAGGCCCUGCUUUUGUGGGGUGCUCGAGUGGCGAACGGGUGAGUAACACGUGAGUAACCUGCCCUUGACUUUGGGUUACCUUCAGGAAACUGGGGCUAUUACCGGAUAGGAGCUCCUUCUGCAUGGUGGGGGUUGGAAAGUUUCGGCGGUUGGGGAUGGACUCGCGGCUUAUCAGCUUGUUGGUGGGGUAGUGGCUUACCAAGGCUUUGACGGGUAGCCGGCCUGAGAGGGUGACCGGCCACAUUGGGACUGAGAUACGGCCCAGACUCCUACGGGAGGCAGCAGUGGGGAAUAUUGCACAAUGGGCGGAAGCCUGAUGCAGCAACGCCGCGUGCGGGAUGACGGCCUUCGGGUUGUAAACCGCUUUCGCCUGUGACGAAGCGUGAGUGACGGUAAUGGGUAAAGAAGCACCGGCUAACUACGUG